Molecule: unclassified non-coding RNA, 230 nt
Filed under: Hevea brasiliensis (rubber tree)
Lineage: Eukaryota; Viridiplantae; Streptophyta; Magnoliopsida; Malpighiales; Euphorbiaceae
Source: RNAcentral
UUCUCGAGAUCUGUGGAGAUCAGGUGAGAUCCCUCGAGAUCUGUCUCGAUCUGACGAGAUCUGUUUUCCUCUCUCUGGAUCUAUGGCGAGCUCGUCGAGAUUUGCGUAUUCUCUCUAGAUCUAUGGCGGUCUGAAGGUAUCGGCUCUGUUCUCUCGAAAUCUGAGGCUUACUCACAGAUCUGUCGAUUGAUGUUAGAUGAGGCAGGGUCCUAUCGAACACUGAAUGUUUG